UAAUACGAAGGGUGCAAGCGUUAAUCGGAAUUACUGGGCGUAAAGCGUGCGUAGGCGGUUUCUUAAGUCUGCUGUGAAAUCCCCGGGCUCAACCUGGGAAUGGCAGUGGAUACUGGGGAGCUAGAGUGUGAUAGAGGAUGGUGGAAUUCCCGGUGUAGCGGUGAAAUGCGUAGAGAUCGGGAGGAACAUCAGUGGCGAAGGCGGCCAUCUGGAUCAACACUGACGCUGAGGCACGAAAGCGUGGGGAGCAAACAGGAUUAGAUACCCUGGUAGUCCACGCCCUAAACGAUGCGAACUGGAUGUUGGUCUCAACUCGGAGAUCAGUGUCGAAGCUAACGCGUUAAGUUCGCCGCCUGGGGAGUACGGUCGCAAGACUGAA
This 379-nucleotide ribosomal RNA is filed under the name uncultured bacterium. RNAcentral describes it as "bacterial SSU rRNA". It matches the Rfam family "Bacterial small subunit ribosomal RNA", at positions 521 to 898 of the family's 1533-position model. The record is from RNAcentral.